This is a long non-coding RNA of Gallus gallus (chicken), 1494 nucleotides long. NCBI's taxonomy places the organism in Eukaryota, Metazoa, Chordata, Aves, Galliformes, Phasianidae. The record is from Ensembl.
AGGAGAUAGAAGGUCAGAUAAUUGACCAAAGAUGAUACAAAAUCCUUGACAGCUACAAAGAAGCACCCAGAAAAUAAAUACUGUGUACAACCUUCUACUGUGUCUCAAGUGAGCUUCAGAAGUAUUUCAAAGGAAAUUAAGUGUGAAAAGGAACUGGAAGUCCAUACGCAUGAUGUGUAGGUAAGGGAAGCUACCACAUCGGAAACACAUGGUUAAAAGACUCACAUAUAAGAAAAGGCUUUGAUGACAGCAGCUUGGAGUGAAUCCUCAUUGGAGAGCUGGUGUUCACCACAUCAGACAAAGAGCUGGGAAAACAGUGCUGUACCCCUUCCCAGCAGAAGUCUUCUUCCAUGGCUCAGUGGCUGAGCAUCACAUCUCUCACGGGGAACAACACCACUAGCCCCGUGAUGGUGAACAUUGCCUCUUUCAUUCUCUUCUUUUGAUAACUGAGAAAGAAUAAACCUCUGUCCUUGGAUAAUGGAGAUACAGGAUGAGGGAGGAGGCAGCAGCAAAAUUUUCAGCCUUGCUCAACUUCUUUGCUCUCUCUGUGGUCACCUCUGGGGGUCAGUUCAGAGUGAUAUGGAUGCUGUGAACUGCCUUCUGGAGAAUCCAUCUCCAAAGGGAGCCUGGAGACAUCAGCUUCAUGUCCCUCACAUUAGCUUUUGAGAAUAUCAGUACUUGGCUGUAACCCAGGGCACAGGGCUGUGAUGGCUGUGUGAGGCAUCAUCCACUACAGCAUACAGAUAUGCUCAACUGGAGUCCAGGGACAAGUCUGCACUGGACUCUGACUCUGGGGGCUGGAGAACCUCCUCUACGAAGACAGGCUGAGGGAGCUGGGCUUGUUCAGCCUCUAGAAAAGAAGGCUGCAGGGUGAUCUAAUUGCAGCCUUUCAGUAUCUAAAGGGAGCCUAUAAACAGGAGGGGAGUCAACUCUUUGAAACGGUAGAUAACAGCAGGACAAGGGAAAACAGUUUUAAGUUGAGAGAGGGAAGAUUUAGGUUGGAUGUCAGGGGGAAGUUCUUUACUAUGAGAGUGGUGAGGUGCUGGAACAGGCUGCCCAGAUAGGUUGUGGAUGCCCCGUCCCUGGAGGUGUUCAAGGCCAGGUUGGAUGGGGCCCUGGGCAGCCUGGUCUAGUAUUAAAGGGGUAUGUUGGUGGCCCUGCCUGUGACAGGGGGUUGGAGAUUCAUGAUUCAUGAUCCUUGAGGUCCCUUCCUACCCAGGCCAUUCUGUGAUUCUGUGAUUCUGACAGCGCCUGAAUUUAUACACUGGGGAUCAGUGAGGUCGCUGUCAUCUCACACUGACAUCACAACCCCUUGGUUGGCAACCUCACAGCCCAUGCCCAUCACUGCAUGUAUUUGGGCACCAGCCUGGGCCUCCAUCACCCUCUAUCAUUCAGUGAUUUUCCUUUGUAAUGGUGAUAAAUUUGGGAAAAUAAAAAUUGCAUCAUUACUAUCUCCACAGUGAUCCAUCUUCCAUGAACUGUUUACACUUUCUG